GAGUGGUGGCCGAAGCAGGGGUACAGCAAGGGACGCUCAGGCGGGGACCAUGGCGGACGGCGGCUCGGAGCGGGCUGACGGGCGCAUCGUCAAGAUGGAGGUGGACUACAGCGCCACGGUGGAUCAGCGCCUACCCGAGUGUGCGAAGCUAGCCAAGGAAGGAAGACUUCAAGAAGUCAUUGAAACCCUUCUCUCUCUGGAAAAGCAGACUCGUACUGCUUCCGAUAUGGUGUCUACAUCCCGUAUCUUAGUUGCAGUAGUGAAGAUGUGCUAUGAGGCUAAAGAAUGGGAUUUACUUAAUGAAAAUAUUAUGCUUUUGUCCAAAAGGCGGAGUCAGUUAAAACAAGCUGUUGCCAAAAUGGUUCAACAGUGCUGUACUUAUGUUGAGGAAAUCACAGACCUUCCUAUCAAACUUCGAUUAAUUGAUACUCUACGAAUGGUUACCGAAGGCAAGAUUUAUGUUGAAAUUGAGCGUGCGCGACUGACUAAAACAUUAGCAACUAUAAAAGAACAAAAUGGUGAUGUGAAAGAGGCAGCCUCCAUUUUACAGGAGUUACAGGUGGAAACCUACGGGUCAAUGGAAAAGAAAGAGCGAGUGGAAUUUAUUUUGGAGCAAAUGAGGCUCUGCCUAGCUGUGAAGGAUUACAUUCGAACACAAAUCAUCAGCAAGAAAAUUAACACCAAAUUUUUCCAGGAAGAAAAUACAGAGAAAUUAAAGUUGAAGUACUAUAAUUUAAUGAUUCAGCUGGAUCAACAUGAGGGAUCCUAUUUGUCUAUUUGUAAGCACUACAGAGCAAUAUAUGAUACUCCCUGUAUACAGGCAGAAAGUGAAAAAUGGCAGCAGGCUCUGAAGAGUGUUGUACUCUAUGUUAUCCUGGCUCCUUUUGACAAUGAACAGUCAGAUUUGGUUCACCGAAUAAGUGGUGACAAGAAGUUAGAAGAAAUUCCCAAAUACAAGUAAGUACUUUUGAAAUUAGCAUGAUAUAUCUCAGUCGAAACACCAUUUUGAAAGAAAAUUGGCUAACCUAAGUGUAUACUUCUGUGUAUACUUCUUUUUUUGAGAUGGAGUUUUACUAUUGUUGCCCACACU
Molecule: small RNA, 1090 nt
Filed under: Pan troglodytes (chimpanzee)
Lineage: Eukaryota; Metazoa; Chordata; Mammalia; Primates; Hominidae
Description: retained intron
Source: RNAcentral